GACGAACGCUGGCGGCGUGCUUAACACAUGCAAGUCGAACGGAAAGGCCCUGCUUUUGUGGGGUGCUCGAGUGGCGAACGGGUGAGUAACACGUGAGUACCCUGCCCCUGACUUUGGGAUAACUUCAGGAAACUUGGUCUAAUACCGGAUAGGAGCUCCUGCUGCAUGGUGGGGGUUGGAAAGUUUCGGCGGUUGGGGAUGGACUCGCGGCUUAUCAGCUUGAUGGUGGGGUAGUGGCUUACCAAGGCUUUGACAGGUAGCCGGCCUGAGCGGGUGACAGGACACAUUGGGAUGGGGAUACGGCACAGACUACUACGGGAGGCAGGGGUGGAGUAUAGUGCACAAUGGGCGGAGGCCAAGUGCGGUAACGCCGCGUGGGGGAUGACGGCCUUCGGUUUGUAUUCCGAUUUCGCCUGUGACGAAGCGUGAGUGACAGUAAUGGGUAAAGAAGCACCGGCUAACUACGUG
RNAcentral lists this ribosomal RNA (468 nucleotides) under uncultured bacterium. Its description in RNAcentral is "partial 16S ribosomal RNA". It matches the Rfam family "Bacterial small subunit ribosomal RNA", at positions 28 to 507 of the family's 1533-position model. The record is from RNAcentral.